GACGAACGCUGGCGGCGUGCUUAACACAUGCAAGUCGAACGGAAAGGCCCUGCUUUUGUGGGGUGCUCGAGUGGCGAACGGGUGAGUAACACGUGAGUAACCUGCCCUUGACUUUGGGAUAACUUCAGGAAACUGGGGCUAAUACCGGAUAGGAGCUCCUGCUGCAUGGUGGGGGUUGGAAAGUUUCGGCGGUUGGGGAUGGACUCGCGGCUUAUCAGCUUGUUGGUGGGGUAGUGGCUUACCAAGGCUUUGACGGGUAGCCGGCCUGAGAGGGUGACCGGCCACCUUGGGCCUGCGAGACGCCCCAGCCUCCUACGGGAGGCAGCAGUGGGAAGUAUUGCACAAUGGGCCGACGCCUGAUGCAGCAACGCCGCGUGCGGGAUGACGGCUUUCGGGUUGUAAACCGCUUUCGCCUGUGCCGAAGCGUGAGUGACGGUAAUGGGUAAAGAAGCACCGGCUAACUACGUG
This 468-nucleotide ribosomal RNA is filed under the name uncultured bacterium. Its description in RNAcentral is "partial 16S ribosomal RNA". It matches the Rfam family "Bacterial small subunit ribosomal RNA", at positions 28 to 507 of the family's 1533-position model. The record is from RNAcentral.